UCCAUCAAUGAAUCCCUCGCAUAUCCAAUAAUCUAUCAGCCUCUCUUUUUCUAUUAAAUCAUCUUCGGGAAACAGAGAGCAAUAUAGGAAACAA
RNAcentral lists this small RNA (94 nucleotides) under Arabidopsis thaliana (thale cress). RNAcentral's name for it is "ATSL008030". Lineage: Eukaryota; Viridiplantae; Streptophyta; Magnoliopsida; Brassicales; Brassicaceae. The record is from RNAcentral.